Molecule: long non-coding RNA, 386 nt
Filed under: Musa acuminata (dwarf banana)
Lineage: Eukaryota; Viridiplantae; Streptophyta; Magnoliopsida; Zingiberales; Musaceae
Description: long non-coding RNA (MACU_LNC006376)
Source: RNAcentral
AUCGAUUCCAUUGCGAUGGAUAUGAAAGAGAAGAAGAUGACGGUGAUCGGUUCCGUCGAUCCCGUGAGCGUCGUGAGCAAAUUGAGAAAAUUCUGGCACACCAACUUAGUCUCAGUUGGACCUGCGAAGGAGGAGAAGAAGGAGGAGCCUAAGAAGGAGGAGCCUAAGAAGGAGGAACCCAAGAAGGAGGAAGCCAAGGAGGAGCCCAAGAAGGAGGAACCCAAGAAGGCGGAGGAGAAGAAAGAGGAACCCAAGAAAGAGGAGAAGAAGGAAGAAAAGGAAGAGAAGAAAGAGGAGCCCAAGAAGGAGGAGAAGAAGGAGCCCCACGACCAAAUGAUAGCGGACAUGGUGAGAGCAUACAAGGCCUACAACCCUCACAUGACCAC